AGAUUGAACGCUGGCGGCAUGCUUUACACAUGCAAGUCGAGCGGCAGCGCGGGGGCAACCCUGGCGGCGAGCGGCGAACGGGUGAGGAAUGCAUCGGAACGUGUCCCGUAGAGGGGGAUAGCUCGGCGAAAGCCGGAUUAAUACCGCAUAUGCUCUAUGGAGGAAAGCAGGGGACCAGUAAUGGCCUUGCGCUAUGGGAGCGGCCGAUGCCCGAUUAGCUUGUUGGUGAGGUAAAGGCUUACCAAGGCGACGAUCGGUAGCUGGUCUGAGAGGAUGAUCAGCCACACUGGGACUGAGACACGGCCCAGACUCCUACGGGAGGCAGCAGUGGGGAAUUUUGGACAAUGGGGGCAACCCUGAUGGAGCGACGCCGCGUGGAGGAUAAGGUCUUCGGAUUGUAAACUCCUGUCAUGCGAGAACAAGCCCGCAAGGGUGUGAUAGUAUCGCAAGAGGAAGAGACGGCUAACUCUGUGCCACG
Molecule: ribosomal RNA, 478 nt
Filed under: uncultured bacterium
Lineage: Bacteria
Description: SSU rRNA
Rfam family: Bacterial small subunit ribosomal RNA
Source: RNAcentral